RNAcentral lists this ribosomal RNA (253 nucleotides) under uncultured bacterium. Its description in RNAcentral is "partial 16S ribosomal RNA". It matches the Rfam family "Bacterial small subunit ribosomal RNA", at positions 524 to 776 of the family's 1533-position model. The record is from RNAcentral.
UACAGAGGGUGCAAGCGUUAAUCGGAGUUACUGGGCGUAAAGCGUGCGUAGACGGUUGCGUAAGUCAGAUGUGAAAGCCCCGGGCUCAACCUGGGAAUUGCAUUUGAGACUGCGUAGCUAGGGUGCGGAAGAGGGAAGCGGAAUUUCCGGUGUAGCGGUGAAAUGCGUAGAUAUCGGAAGGAACACCAGUGGCGAAAGCGGCUUCCUGGUCCAGCACCGACGUUCAGGCACGAAAGCGUGGGGAGCAAACAGG